Pelobates cultripes (western spadefoot toad) is the source of this 290-nucleotide non-coding RNA. NCBI's taxonomy places the organism in Eukaryota, Metazoa, Chordata, Amphibia, Anura, Pelobatidae. The record is from the annotation of a GenBank genome assembly.
AUUUUCUCCCGAAACUGAUCCACCCAGACCAAGUGGGCUUCAUUCCCAAUAGACAAGCCUACGACAACACAAGACGCACCUAUGACCUAAUCUGGACGGCCAACCACAGACGGAUCCCGACGCUACUACUAUCCCUAGACGCCGAAAAGGCAUUUGACAGGAUCCUCUGGCCAUAUUUAUUUGCGGUCCUGACGAGGUUCGGCUUCCCCAGGGCCCUAUUACAAGCAAUUCGCACCCUCUACACCAACCCAACAGCACGACUACUAAUACCAAAUGCCCGCCAAACCCCG